Molecule: ribosomal RNA, 248 nt
Filed under: uncultured bacterium
Lineage: Bacteria
Description: partial 16S ribosomal RNA
Rfam family: Bacterial small subunit ribosomal RNA
Source: RNAcentral
GAUCAUGGCUCAGGACGAACGCUGGCGGCGCGCUUAACACAUGCAAGUCGAGCGAUGAAACUUUAACAGAACCCUUCGGGGCGAAGAUAAAGUGGAUUAGCGGCGGACGGGUGAGUAACACGUGAGUAACCUGCCUUAGACAUUGGGAUAGCCUCGGGAAACCGGGAUUAAUACCAAAUAAAAUCAUAAUGACACAUGUCAUAACGAUCAAAACUCCGGUGGUCUAAGAUGGACUCGCGUCCCAUUAG